AGAGCAGAAGACUGUUGACAAUGAUGAGAAAAUCAGAAUAAAGAGGACAACAGUAUGUACGUCUAUUUUCUUCUUUGGUAUCAACUCUACUUGGCUUCUGGUAAUCGUGUUUGGUACAUUCCUGGCUUUGUUAUAGAUUCAAUAAUAUCGUGGAGAUCCCAGCUUCUUCAAGUCGUCAAGUCAACUAUUCAAAUCAUUGAUCUAUUUUUUCACUUAAGAUAUAUCACGUCUUCAAGUACAUGGAGUUUGCAUGAAUUUAAUUUGUGAUCAAUUGCCUCAAGACUUUAGGGACUGGAAAUACAAUAAAGAGAAGCUUUACUAACUUACUGGCCUUCUAGCGAUAAGUACAAGACCAUUUUAUACGGUAUUCAACACUCUUUUGAGAUAGUUGAUGCUGCAUACAUUUCAUAGAACUUUGAUCUGCAUGGGAAUCACAAAGCAAAAUUUCUGAAUCAUGACGAGGAAUUUGAAGUGAACGAGGCUAAUAGCUAACUUAAUAAGAAGAUGAUGCCAUGCUGACAGUUAACCAGGGAUUGGAGCCUGCAAAAACUGUUUGAUCCAACUAGGUGAAGCACUACAUAGUGACUUCCAUAGGAUGCUUUUCAGUCUAUUGAGGUACCAUCGAGUCUUCCCCAUCUCUCUUCAUUCAGACUGAGGUUGACAUGUUUUAUGGAUGUCAGUAUCUUUUUGGCAGGAGCUAAGCUAUAUAACAAUGUCUUAACAAUUGGAGAUGACUGGUUAAACUGCUUAUGCGGUGCUAUUUUUCAGGGUAGAACUUUGGGUUGUUCCUUUUUCUCUUAUAUUUCUACACUAAAGCUUCAUGAAUGACAUACAGGAGUGUGAUGGGAUAGA
RNAcentral lists this long non-coding RNA (852 nucleotides) under Solanum tuberosum (potato). RNAcentral describes it as "long non-coding RNA (STUB_LNC007759)". The record is from RNAcentral. Lineage: Eukaryota; Viridiplantae; Streptophyta; Magnoliopsida; Solanales; Solanaceae.